Molecule: transfer RNA, 72 nt
Filed under: Gnathopogon mantschuricus
Lineage: Eukaryota; Metazoa; Chordata; Actinopteri; Cypriniformes; Gobionidae
Description: tRNA-Asp
Rfam family: tRNA
About the family: Transfer RNA (tRNA) molecules are approximately 80 nucleotides in length.
Source: RNAcentral
AAGACAUUAGUAAAAUAUAGAUUACACCACCUUGUCAAGGUGGUAUCGCAGGUUAAAUCCCUGCAUGUCUUA